This 251-nucleotide ribosomal RNA is filed under the name uncultured bacterium. Its description in RNAcentral is "partial 16S ribosomal RNA". It matches the Rfam family "Bacterial small subunit ribosomal RNA", at positions 99 to 334 of the family's 1533-position model. The record is from RNAcentral.
CGAACGGGUGAGUAACGCGUGGGUAAUCUACCUAGAAGUGGGGGAUAGCUCCGGGAAACCGGGGGUAAUACCGCAUGAGUCUUGGACGACGCGAGUCGACCAAGGGAAAGGCGGGGAUCCUUCGGGACCUGUCGCUUCUGGAUGAGCCCGCGUCCGAUUAGCUUGUUGGCGGGGUAAUGGCCCACCAAGGCAUCGAUCGGUAGCCGGCCUGAGAGGGUGUUCGGCCACAUUGGGACUGAGACACGGCCCAG